RNAcentral lists this ribosomal RNA (253 nucleotides) under uncultured bacterium. RNAcentral's name for it is "partial 16S ribosomal RNA". It matches the Rfam family "Bacterial small subunit ribosomal RNA", at positions 524 to 776 of the family's 1533-position model. The record is from RNAcentral.
UACAGAGGUGACAAACGUUGUCCGGAAUUAUUGGGCGUAAAGGGCGCGUAGGUGGUUGAGUAAGUCAGGUGUGAAAGCUCUGGGCUUAACCCAGGAAUUGCAUCUGAUACUGCUCGGCUUGAGUACGGUAGAGGAGGGUGGAAUUCCCAGUGUAGCGGUGAAAUGCGUAGAUAUUCGGAAGAACACCAGUGGCGAAGGCGGCUCACUGGCCCGGUACUGACGCUCAGGUGCGAAAGCGUGGGGAGCAAACAGG